Molecule: ribosomal RNA, 432 nt
Filed under: uncultured bacterium
Lineage: Bacteria
Description: partial 16S ribosomal RNA
Rfam family: Bacterial small subunit ribosomal RNA
Source: RNAcentral
CCUACGGGAGGCAGCAGUGGGGAAUCUUGCACAAUGGGCGAAAGCCUGAUGCAGCGACGCCGCGUGCGGGAUGACGGCCUUCGGGUUGUAAACCGCUUUCAGCAGGGACGCGGUACCUGCAGAAGAAGCCCCGGCCAACUACGUGCCAGCAGCCGCGGUAAUACGUAGGGGGCAAGCGUUGUCCGGAUUUAUUGGGCGUAAAGAGCUCGUAGGCGGUUUGGUAAGUCUGGUGUGAAAUCUCCACGCUCAACGUGGAGGGGCCACCCGAUACUGCCAGACUGGAGUCCGGUAGAGGAGUGUGGAAUUCCCGGUGUAGCGGUGAAAUGCGCAGAUAUCGGGAGGAACACCCGUAGCGAAGGCGGCACUCUGGGCCGGACUGACGCUGAGGAGCGAAAGCGUGGGGAGCAAACAGGAUUAGAUACCCUUGUAGUC